UACAGAGGUGGCAAGCGUUGUUCGGAAUUACUGGGCGUAAAGGGCGCGUAGGCGGCCAUCUAAGUCAGACGUGAAAUCCCCCGGCUUAACCUGGGAACUGCGUCUGAUACUGGAAGGCUUGAGUAUGGGAGAGGGAUGUAGAAUUCCAGGUGUAGCGGUGAAAUGCGUAGAGAUGUGGAGGAAUACCGAUGGCGAAGGCAGCCCCCUGGGCCAAUACUGACGCUCAUGCACGAAAGCGUGGGGAGCAAACAGG
This 253-nucleotide ribosomal RNA is filed under the name uncultured bacterium. RNAcentral's name for it is "partial 16S ribosomal RNA". It matches the Rfam family "Bacterial small subunit ribosomal RNA", at positions 524 to 776 of the family's 1533-position model. The record is from RNAcentral.